CUCAGAUCAAGCCGGAGUUGCAGAUGAUGAGAGAAGACCAUGGAGCUUGGAAGCGUGCGCACAACCACUCUGUUUACGCUCAAUGCUUCUUCAUUCUUGCCUGGUCACGUUUGGGAUAGCAUAGGUCAUAAGUGUGUCAGAUCCUAAAAACUAAGACGACCGUGUAACCCAUUAAAACUCGCUUCGAAUUGCAAUAUGCAAUAAUGAUAUUUGAGUUAUUUGUAUUUAAGCACUUGAUAUUCUUGUUCUCUAGUACAGAAAGAUCAUGCCAGUUUUACUUCUUUAAUUGUUAGCCACAGUUCAAGUAAGUGUUAACAACUGUGAACGAGUAGCAUACUCUUCUUCUCUUGUCCUGCUUUCUCAAAGACCACCUUCUCUUGAACAUUUUGUGUUUCCUUUUGCACUCUGUGCAGUUGCUGAGUCCCACGCUAGUCCCCACCGCUACCUUCACUUCUUGGACUGUACACCACAGUCACUCGGUCCCAGUCCCAUGGUUCCACUUGUUUCAGCUCCUGAGUCGAAGUGCUGGGGUUAAGCAAAUGUGGUCACGAGCAGUUGUGGAUGAAUUCAGAUUUGUGGGGGCUAGAGGUGUUGGCUUGAAAUCAUGCACCAUGCUUUGAGGGUCGAGGAUCUCUCAGAAGCUGCUAUUGCUGUGUAUCCGUAUGAGUGAUGAGCAAGCGUUUUAUUCUUUUCUUUCUUUCUGUUUUUGUGGCCAUGUGUGACUCACGUUGAUGUUAGGGUUUUAUGAAUGGUGACAUCCUUCGGUUUGAGCAACUUGGGUUUGUACGUCGGUGUCUGUGGGGGAGCAAUGUAAGAUAGUGUAGAUGGGCUUCAAAGAUUUGUAGCGAGUGGUUGGGGGCGUGAAGCGGGAGGGUGUUCGGAGGUGUUGGUCAGUCGCUGUCGCUGGAAAGUUGCUGCGAGGUCAGAGAUUUUCGAGGGUUUUUAAUUCAUUGUCAUGGUUGGGGAUCAGUGUAUGUAUUUUUGAGGUGGAUUGAUCAAGGUCAUCAACCGAGCACAUUGUGUUCGUUCUGAAGGAUCAGGUGAUCGGGAUUCUAGUGAGUUCUGUUUGUAAGAUAAACCCCUGGACUCACUGUCAUAAAUGCUUUGGGGUUGCGGGAUUUGUGGAAUGAGGUACUCCGCGGGUAACAAGAAGCUGUGGUGCUGCCCCAGGAAUAGAAACUAGGAAGGACAUUGAAAUGAAGGAAAUCCAAUUUAAUAGCAAUAUAUUUUUUUUAUAUAUUCGAAUUUGAAGUUCAUUCUGAAUCAGUGUAGAAUGUAGAAACUUAGAUAUUAGCAGCAAAGGAAAGAAAUAAGGGUUUAGCACUGUGGGGCGGCCUUGAUUUUACAGUGUCCUGGGAAAGCCAGCAAGCACCUGUGCUGACUCUAUAUGCACUACAAUCUGGCUGUACAUUCAACGAUGGAGCGUGGGUUACAGCGUCGUUGGGCUGAGUUAUGAAGCUGUGGUUUCUCAAGGGGAACAUUGGCGGCUCAUCACGUUGACUUUCUCUCACAUCAGCUUCCUUCACUUGCUUUCUGACAUGAGUGCUCUCUGGAGCCUAGGAAUCGUCGAAGUGCCAAAGACUACACCCUGGGAAACGCUUACUACAUACAGUGCUCAAUAACAAUGGUACUUCUGUCAGGGCUGAUCGUAUUCGGCAUGUACCAUAUGCUACCUACCCAGGUGAAGUUGAACUUCUACAGACGAGUAAUCGUGUGUUGUGUUUGGUUGGAUGACCAUCCUUGCUGUGAAGCAGCCAUCUCUGAUUCUGAAUUUGUUUGGGCUUGUAUCGCUCCCAAUCAGCUUCGCACCGUUAGAGUAUCUCAUCUUUACAUCCAUCACUGUACCGUGGGCGAGUUUUCUCGGGCAGGAUUAACGGUGGGUAAUCUUAGUGGUUGGGGUGUAGUUCAAGGUAUGACUAACUACUGGACAGUCACUUAAGCUGUUUGCAUCGCACUGGGGUUUAUUUAGAGCUUGAGGCGGACUACCUCGUUUGAGUUGCCAUACUUGGAGGUUGAGUCUAGGGCAUGUUAAUAUAUGUCAAGCGUCGCUUCUGCCCCAUCCAAUAUAUCUACAAGCUGGUCAAGAGCUUCUCGUAUUUUGCAAGGAAGCGACUUGGUGUGGCUCUCUGUUCAGUCUCAUCAUGAAUCUCCUAUCUCAGAAGUUGAGUACAUUUUAUAUUUUUAAUGGGAUAUAGCAUGCUGUAUCAAUAUGUGGUGAUUCUGGCCUUUCUCUGCUUUGAAUUUGCUUCGUCACGACCUCAUAAGGUCGCAGAGCCUUGGCUUUACUGUUGUGAUUGUGUUUUUGAUGACUGCUUUACAGCAGUCUGGCAAUCAAGUUCUCUGGCAACAUCAAUUAAGAUGAAGUGGCCAAUCAAAAGCAUCAUAAUAUUGAGAAUUUAUCUCAUAAGCUCAUGUACUAAUUGCUGCCAGAACGCAAGGUAGAUGCGAAGUGGUUGAUAAGGGAUGUUGUCAAGCUUGGCCUUGAAGAGUGAAAUGAGAAAGAGACUCAGACAAAUCUCUGUACUCCCCAGCCGGUGAGUUUAGCAUAUAUUAGUAGACGAGACUGUUCAGACCUUGAUUCCAAUCGAUCAGGAUCCUAGACCAUUUAUUUCUACUUGUAUUUUUAGUAUUAAAUAGGCAUCCAUGAUCAUCUCUUCAGAUGGUGAAAGACCCGCAGCUUUGACGAUGUUGUAAUAUUCUGUUCAUUUUAAAUUCGAGACAGCUUUUCUUGUU
Molecule: non-coding RNA, 2733 nt
Organism: Physcomitrium patens
Lineage: Eukaryota; Viridiplantae; Streptophyta; Bryopsida; Funariales; Funariaceae
Source: RefSeq, a predicted model, not a curated record